RNAcentral lists this ribosomal RNA (254 nucleotides) under uncultured bacterium. RNAcentral's name for it is "partial 16S ribosomal RNA". It matches the Rfam family "Bacterial small subunit ribosomal RNA", at positions 524 to 776 of the family's 1533-position model. The record is from RNAcentral.
UACGUAGGGAGCAAGCGUUGUUCGGAUUUACUGGGCGUAAAGGGCGCGUAGGCGGCAAUUCAAGUCAUCUGUGAAAUCUCCGGGCUUAACUCGGAACGGUCAGGUGAUACUGCUUUGCUAGAGUGCGGAAGGGGCAAUCGGAAUUCUCGGUGUAGCGGUGAAAUGCGUAGAUAUCGAGAGGAACACCUGAGGUGAAGACGGGUUGCUGGGCCGACACUGACGCUGACAGCGCGAAAGCCAGGGGAGCAAACGGG